GGUCUUAAAAAUAUCGGCGGUUUCGAAGAACGAACUUAUAUGUCGCACAUAGGACACCGGUCAUGUGUUUCAAGUGUCCACCACACCAAGGAGGUUGAGAUGGUUUACGUUUUACGGGCUUUAAACGCAUAAACGAUCCUGCUUCUUUAAAAAUUGAAGAUGAAAUUAUUCUCGGUUUGAUAAAUACGGUAUAGUAUGGUUUAAUACGUGUUAUUUAGAAGAGAGAUUAUGGUAAUGGUUUAGCGCGAAUAAUGCACGGGUUUUGUGUGCAUGUUUUAGCGCGAAAGCGCACGAGUUUUUCGUUUUGGGGUAUAUAUGAUUUGCACAUCUAUUGAGUCGCCAUUCGAGGGUGUAUUUGACAGGCAAACGUUAUGGAACAAGAAAACGAAAGGGUGAUAACCCCGCCAACCCGCCCUUAAUGAACAUAUGUAUGGUUAAAUAAUUGUUUACAUUGCUUUUACGUUUAUAAUUUUGCAAUUAUAAAGUCUAUAUUUAGUAUAUUUUCAGUUCGGUUUUUAGUCCAUGUGAGAUGGGAUCUUAACACGAACCGAUUCCUUUACUGGGAAGACGAUUGGUGUAUUUUCAUUUAAAGGGAUCUUUUCACGCUUUGGUAAAUUGACAAAAUUGAAAAAAGUUGUUUCAGAUUCGUAAGUUUUCGUUUUAGUUAUGAUAUUUGUGAGGAAACAGUAAUACUGAACAUUAACCAUGCUCUAAUAUAGCCAUUAUAUGCAUCUUUUGACGAUUUUAAAACCUAAAAAUUAUAAAGCGUUGCAACGCGAAACGAUUGAAUAAUUUGGAGAGUUCUGUUUUUGUCGUUAAAUUUUGUGAAACUACGAAGAUUGCUUAUAAAAGGUAUAAAAUACGUCGAAAAUCUGUACUCGGCGGAAUAGCUCAGUAGGCUAAAGCGUUUUUACUUCAGGACUCUGGCAGGACUCCAGGGGUCACUGGUUCGAAACCUGCUCCGGGCAAUGUUCUUUUCCUUUUUUUAAUUUUUUUCUUGAUUUUUUACUGGAGCUUUUAUGAUCCAAUGUUUACAUUUAUCAAUAUAAAGCAUUUAAUGAAUAAGUUAAAAAAAUGCCAAAAUCUGUGAAAAGGCCCCUUUAAGUCUGAAGCAGCUAAGUUUUCUUGAUUAUUUUAACUCGUUAUUUACUUAAUAUUGUGUUUGAAUGAGGUUUUUUAAUUUAUGGGUGUCAUGUUUUUCGAGACUCUCACUUCCUGGAGAUCGUACCUCCAGCAUAUUUAUUGAAAUAUUGGUAUGUUUAAAUGUUAGUGUUAUUAUUUUUUGUUGUCUUUCGUAAUGAACGUUUAAUUUUAAAGACAUUCUUAUUGUACGAUUACUUAAUAUUUUCAUUUUGGUGUGACUGGUUAGAUGUUGAAGUCGGUUUAAUAUAGCUGUUA
Long non-coding RNA from Dreissena polymorpha, 1398 nucleotides. RefSeq lists it as uncharacterized. The transcript is spliced from 2 exons. The record is from RefSeq and is a predicted model, not a curated record. NCBI's taxonomy places the organism in Eukaryota, Metazoa, Mollusca, Bivalvia, Myida, Dreissenidae.